AGCCAUAUCCAAAUUGAGUAGAUCCAUACUCAGCUGGUCGAACCAUUGAAUAUGUCCUAACACAUCUCCAUCUUCUUCCAUUCAAAGGCUGUAGAGUUAUUUCUUCAGCGUAAGCUUGUUGCACAUGUUUCUUUCCAUGUACAGGGAGUGCAAUAUUAACCACAAGCCUUUGGGUGUCUUCUUCUAACACAUCAUAUAGCACCGAGUCCACCAAACACCACCUGAUCAAUGAAUAGACCC
RNAcentral lists this long non-coding RNA (240 nucleotides) under Elaeis guineensis (African oil palm). RNAcentral describes it as "long non-coding RNA (EGUI_LNC074644)". Lineage: Eukaryota; Viridiplantae; Streptophyta; Magnoliopsida; Arecales; Arecaceae. The record is from RNAcentral.